ACGGCGAGUGAAGCGGCAAAAGCUCAAAUUUUAAAGCUGACAUCUUCGGUGUCCGCGUUGUAAUUUUGUGAGGCAUCUCCGGGUAGGGCGCCAGCCUAAGUUCCUUGGAACAGGACGUCACAGAGGGUGAGAAUCCCGUGCUUGGCUGGCUGUCCCCGUCCACGUGAGGUGUCUUCGACGAGUCGAGUUGUUUGGGAAUGCAGCUCAAAAUGGGUGGUAAAUUUCAUCUAAAGCUAAAUAUUGGUGGGAGACCGAUAGCGCACAAGUAGAGUGAUCGAAAGAUGAAAAGCACUUUGAAAAUAGAGUUAAAAAGUACGUGAAAUUGUUGAAAGGGAAGCGCUUGAGACCAGACUUCGGUAGGGGGUGAUCAGCCGUCCUUCUGGGCGGUGCACUUGCCCCCCUCCGGGCCAGCAUCGGUUGAGGCGGCGGGAUAAAGGUCCCGGGAAUGUGGCUCCUUCACGGGAGUGUUAUAGCCCGGGUGAAUGCCGCCAGCCUCGACCGAGGACCGCGCCCGCAAGGGUUAGGAUGCUUG
This 532-nucleotide ribosomal RNA is filed under the name Morchella semilibera. RNAcentral describes it as "partial 28S ribosomal RNA". It matches the Rfam family "Eukaryotic large subunit ribosomal RNA", at positions 86 to 629 of the family's 3401-position model. The record is from RNAcentral. Lineage: Eukaryota; Fungi; Ascomycota; Pezizomycetes; Pezizales; Morchellaceae.